This 72-nucleotide transfer RNA is filed under the name Nostoc sp. 3335mG. Its description in RNAcentral is "tRNA-Lys". It matches the Rfam family "tRNA". Rfam says of the family: Transfer RNA (tRNA) molecules are approximately 80 nucleotides in length. Lineage: Bacteria; Bacillati; Cyanobacteriota; Cyanophyceae; Nostocales; Nostocaceae. The record is from RNAcentral.
CGCCCGGUAGCUCAGUGGCAGAGCGGCCGGCUCUUAUCCGGCUGGACGCUGGUUCGAGCCCAGCCCGGGCGG